AUUUCCACGUGUUUGCGACAGACACAAGAGGAAGAGUGAGAAGGAUGAGGGGGGAAGCCUGAGUUUCUUCUCGUGAAAGAAGGAAAAAUGUAUAGGAAAUAGGCCUGUCAACGAACAGAGACUGGAUUUGUACGGUUUUAAGCUAUAUCAAGGAAAUAACUUACUUAUUUCAACCAAGACACAUCAGGAAAUAGUCGUUCCUCGGACGUUCUCUGCCAGAAUUAGAUUGAGAGGGUAUAAAAAUGAGGUAACACGCAUGCAAUAUCCCUUUGUCAUCCAACACCAUGAAGAAAAGAAAAGAACUGGCAG
This is a long non-coding RNA of Oncorhynchus tshawytscha (Chinook salmon), 309 nucleotides long. The record is from Ensembl. NCBI's taxonomy places the organism in Eukaryota, Metazoa, Chordata, Actinopteri, Salmoniformes, Salmonidae.